This 433-nucleotide ribosomal RNA is filed under the name uncultured bacterium. Its description in RNAcentral is "partial 16S ribosomal RNA". It matches the Rfam family "Bacterial small subunit ribosomal RNA", at positions 29 to 507 of the family's 1533-position model. The record is from RNAcentral.
AACGAACGCUGGCGGCAUGCCUAACACAUGCAAGUCGAACGAGACCUUCGGGUCUAGUGGCGCACGGGUGCGUAACGCGUGGGAACCUGCCCUUAGGUUCGGAAUAACUCCCCGAAAGGGGUGCUAAUACCGGAUAAUGUCUUCGGACCAAAGAUUUAUCGCCUUUGGAUGGGCCCGCGUUGGAUUAGCUAGUUGGUAGGGUAAAAGCCUACCAAGGCGACGAUCCAUAGCUGGUCUGAGAGGAUGAUCAGCCACACUGGGACUGAGACACGGCCCAGACUCCUACGGGAGGCAGCAGUGGGGAAUAUUGGACAAUGGGCGAAAGCCUGAUCCAGCAAUGCCGCGUGAGUGAUGAAGGCCUUAGGGUUGUAAAGCUCUUUUACCUGGGAUGAUUAUGACAGUACCGGGAGAAUAAGCUCCGGCUAACUCCGUG